Molecule: ribosomal RNA, 491 nt
Filed under: uncultured bacterium
Lineage: Bacteria
Description: partial 16S ribosomal RNA
Rfam family: Bacterial small subunit ribosomal RNA
Source: RNAcentral
GAUGAACGCUAGCUACAGGCUUAACACAUGCAAGUCGAGGGGAAACGCCAUUGAAGCUUGCUUCGAUGGUCGUCGACCGGCGCACGGGUGAGUAACGCGUAUCCAACCUGCCUCUGACCAAGGGAUAACCCGUCGAAAGUCGGCCUAAUACCUUAUGCAGUCGUCGGAAGUCAUCUGAUGACGACGAAAGAUUUCAUCGGUGAGAGAUGGGGAUGCGUCUGAUUAGCUUGUUGGCGGGGUAACGGCCCACCAAGGCAACGAUCAGUAGGGGUUCUGAGAGGAAGGUCCCCCACAUUGGAACUGAGACACGGUCCAAACUCCUACGGGAGGCGGCAGUGAGGAAUAUUGGUCAAUGGGCGAGAGCCUGAACCAGCCAAGUAGCGUGCAGGAUGACGGCCCUAUGGGUUGUAAACUGCUUUUAUGCGGGGAUAAAGUGAGGGACGUGUCCUUCAUUGCAGGUACCGCAUGAAUAAGGACCGGCUAAUUCCGUG